This 724-nucleotide ribosomal RNA is filed under the name uncultured Fusobacterium sp. Its description in RNAcentral is "bacterial SSU rRNA". It matches the Rfam family "Bacterial small subunit ribosomal RNA", at positions 28 to 776 of the family's 1533-position model. Lineage: Bacteria; Fusobacteriati; Fusobacteriota; Fusobacteriia; Fusobacteriales; Fusobacteriaceae. The record is from RNAcentral.
GAUGAACGCUGACAGAAUGCUUAACACAUGCAAGUCGACUCGAGUCUUCGGACUUGGGUGGCGGACGGGUGAGUAACGCGUAAAGAACUUGCCUCAUAGUCUGGGACAACAUUUGGAAACGGAUGCUAAUACCGGAUAUUAUGCUUUCUUCGCAUGGAGGAGGUAUGAAAGCUAUAUGCGCUAUGAGAGAGCUUUGCGUCCCAUUAGCUAGUUGGUGAGGUAACGGCCCACCAAGGCGAUGAUGGGUAGCCGGCCUGAGAGGGCGAACGGCCACAAGGGGACUGAGACACGGCCCUUACUCCUACGGGAGGCAGCAGUGGGGAAUAUUGGACAAUGGACCAAAAGUCUGAUCCAGCAAUUCUGUGUGCACGAUGACGUUUUUCGGAAUGUAAAGUGCUUUCAGUCGGGAAGAAGCAAGUGACGGUACCGACAGAAGAAGCGACGGCUAAAUACGUGCCAGCAGCCGCGGUAAUACGUAUGUCGCAAGCGUUAUCCGGAUUUAUUGGGCGUAAAGCGCGUCUAGGCGGCAAGGAAAGUCUGAUGUGAAAAUGCGGGGCUCAACUCCGUAUUGCGUUGGAAACUGCCUUACUAGAGUACUGGAGAGGUAGGCGGAACUACAAGUGUAGAGGUGAAAUUCGUAGAUAUUUGUAGGAAUGCCGAUGGGGAAGCCAGCCUACUGGACAGAUACUGACGCUAAAGCGCGAAAGCGUGGGUAGCAAACAGG